RNAcentral lists this ribosomal RNA (575 nucleotides) under Aspergillus pseudoterreus. RNAcentral's name for it is "eukaryotic LSU rRNA". It matches the Rfam family "Eukaryotic large subunit ribosomal RNA", at positions 58 to 648 of the family's 3401-position model. The record is from RNAcentral. Lineage: Eukaryota; Fungi; Ascomycota; Eurotiomycetes; Eurotiales; Aspergillaceae.
AAAGAAACCAACCGGGAUUGCCUCAGUAACGGCGAGUGAAGCGGCAAGAGCUCAAAUUUGAAAGCUGGCUCCUUCGGGGUCCGCAUUGUAAUUUGCAGAGGAUGCUUCGGGUGCAGCCCCCGUCUAAGUGCCCUGGAACGGGCCGUCAUAGAGGGUGAGAAUCCCGUAUGGGGCGGGGUGUCUGCGUCCGUGUGAAGCUCCUUCGACGAGUCGAGUUGUUUGGGAAUGCAGCUCUAAAUGGGUGGUAAAUUUCAUCUAAAGCUAAAUACUGGCCGGAGACCGAUAGCGCACAAGUAGAGUGAUCGAAAGAUGAAAAGCACUUUGAAAAGAGAGUUAAACAGCACGUGAAAUUGUUGAAAGGGAAGCGCUUGCAACCAGACUCGCUCGUGGGGUUCAGCCGGGCUUCGGCCCGGUGUACUUCCCCGCGGGCGGGCCAGCGUCGGUUUGGGCGGCCGGUCAAAGGCCUCCGGAAUGUAGCGCCCUUCGGGGCGCCUUAUAGCCGGGGGUGCAAUGCGGCCAGCCUGGACCGAGGAACGCGCUUCGGCACGGACGCUGGCAUAAUGGUUGUAAACGAC